This is a long non-coding RNA of Acanthochromis polyacanthus (spiny chromis), 1479 nucleotides long. RefSeq lists it as uncharacterized. NCBI's taxonomy places the organism in Eukaryota, Metazoa, Chordata, Actinopteri, Pomacentridae. The transcript has 4 exons. The record is from RefSeq and is a predicted model, not a curated record.
UGAUGUAUAUAUAGAGCUUGACCGCUCACUGGCCGCUGAGAGGCGGUAAAUAGGAGCUGACUUCCGGUAGUGGCAAGAUGGGGAUUUCAUAUUGGAACGCCAGCACGGUGGAUGUGGCUAAUAUCUGACCAUGGUGAAGUCGUGUGCUGCCAUCUCCUGCACCAGUCGAUUUGUAAUAUUUCCUUUCAUAAGUUUCCCAAGCAGUCCAAGGACAACACACUGAGAGAUCAAUGGAUACAGGCCAUCAGUAGAGAAGUGGUGGGGACCAAGAGGAGAUGAUCAUAAUUAUGUAUGCAGCAACCAUUUCAGGGAGGAGGACUUCAUCCUCUCAAAACAUGCUCAACACAAGCUUCUCAGGCCAGGGGCUGUACCAUCCCUCAAUCUGGGGAAACCAGAGAAAAAGAUCGCAGUGAGGACAACCCAAAGCAGCCCGGCAGCAGUGGCAUUAUACCAGCACAUGGACAUGGAGCCUGAACAAGAGUCUGAAGAGGGCAGUACUGCUGUUAGUGAACACCAUGCAUACUGUACAGACAUUGACAACCUGAAGAGGAAAUAUGACGAUCUAAUUGUACAGCUUGAAAAGCUGAGGCAGGACUUCAACAACGCCAAACGUAGAGAGAAGCACUGCAGAGUGACGUUGGAGGCCAUGUUAGCUAAAACCAAGGAAAUACAAGCCCUGUCUGAUGAUGCUCAUUCCAUGCUUGAUGCAUAUAAAGGUAUUCCUUGUUUAGAAGUACAUAUGAGUGACGUGCAGCACAUUUAAAUAUAAUUAUGUAACUGCACAUUGCUCACCCACACAGUGCACUAGAACUGAGAUCAAUGUUUGUUAAUGCAACAUUAUAUAAACAAUUUUGCGGCUGUGAUACCCAACAUUCAUGUGGAAACUAUCUAAGCUAUUAACUAUGUUUGAUCACACUUAAUUUUCAAGUACAGGUAAAUUGAUGUUGAUAGACCCUGUUUCUUUACCAGAAUAAUGUCAUUUGUUUGUAACUCCACAACACCUGAAAUUGGGACAUAUAUACAACAUGCAUUUAGGUUGAAUAUUUAUGAAAAUUGCAAACUAAACUCAAAGGGUUGACUGAACUUUGAUGGUUCCUCAUGAAGCAUGAUGUGCUGUAUAAAUGCCGUCUACAUACUGCAAUCUGCCUGAAAGUUUGUGAUUGAUCACAGUCCUGUGAUGACAUCCAUAUGCCAAUGUGCACUCAGUCAUAGCGUCACCUGCUGUAGAGGAAGUUACAAGUUUUACACUUUAAUGUUGUACUAUACUUUUAAUAAAUUUAUCUGCACUUUUUUUCAUUUACUUUAAAUUAACUUCUUUUCUAUUGGUUGUUGCAAUUAGUGUCUGAUAUGCUUUUAUCUUUUUCCAUUUCUUGUCUUCUUUUGGCUGUUUUACUCAAUCAGUUUUAAUUAUUCUAGAAAUGAGUGUCCAUUGUAUUCAAUGAACCUUUUCUGAUUAAAGUGACUUCAUUUUUUAUUACA